AUAAACAACGUGCCCUGAAGACUGGGAUAUACGGUCGAAAGGCCGAGCAAUACCGGAUGUGGCCGAGACUAGGCAUCUAGACUCGAUUAAAUGGUUUUUCGCUUCAGGAGCGGUUUAUGACUCAUCAGCUAGUUGGUAGGGUAAUGGCCUACCAAGGCUACGACGGGUAGGGGGUCUGAGAGGAUGAUCCCCCCGAGUGGGACUGAGACACGGCC
RNAcentral lists this ribosomal RNA (215 nucleotides) under uncultured bacterium. Its description in RNAcentral is "partial 16S ribosomal RNA". It matches the Rfam family "Bacterial small subunit ribosomal RNA", at positions 117 to 331 of the family's 1533-position model. The record is from RNAcentral.